AUGCAGCGCCAGUUCACUAUUUCCUGGUGGCUUUACACUUCAGAUUCUUACGGGAAAAUGGAGAAUACCUACAAAUCUAAACAAUGCAGAGGACAUUCAAACCUCAGCAGGCUUUUGUUGCUGCUGUUACUGGCAGGCCUUCAGCCAGUACUGUCUUCAGAUGGAGAGACCCCUGGACUAGAUGACGAGGAUGACAACGAGGAAGCAGUGAAAAUCAAGUGUACAAUUAUUGGUCCGGACUACGUCACUGUGGGUGUGCCAAGCAGCAUUGAGUGUUUUUCCAACUGCCUGAUGAUGAAAACUGCAUGUAGAUAUUCUAUGUCUUUGGAUGGACAGAUUGCCCAGGGUCAGGGCAAUGUGCUAUCCUUCACUGUUAACAGUUGGGUGGAGGCCUUAACAGUGACAUGUACAGCCACAGUUGAAGAUACAGAUAUAACUGCGACGACAACAAAGCAACUGAAAGUGUUAGCUGGACCUGCCAAUGUUUCCAUCACAGGCCCUGAUCUAAUGAAUCCAUCAGUGAGCCACACCUACAGUUGCCAUGCCUACUGUCGGCCAUCUUGUAUCUACGCCUGGAAGACAGAUAAAGGCCCAUGGAUAGGUGGUCAAGGGAAUGUUAUUUCAAUCACUCCUCGGGAGAUGGACAACUCCAAAAUGCUCAUCUGCAAAGCUACCAAUAGUGUGUCUGGGCUGUUUGACACUGCUACUCGAAACAUAGCUGUGGCCUCUGGUCCAUCUGAGGUUCAGAUCAAAGGCCCCGACGUAAUAGACAUUGCAAAAAAGUACAAGUUUGUGUGCACUGCUGAAUGUCUGCCUUCUUGUCGCUACGUGUCGUCUGUGGACAGCCAGACUGUGAGGGGCAACAUGAUCGAGAUAGCGGCGGAUUAUCUGCUUCAAUCUGUCACUCUCAGGGCCAGAUGGCAACCUGUCCACUCGUCCUGAAGGGACCUUAGCUGUGCUGCUGCUGGCCUUCAUCAUUUCUGAUCUUUCUUUCUCAGAUUGAAUGUGUGAUGAAGAAAGGUUGGUGAAUUGUGGAGAAUUAAUGACUCAUGUACCGGUAAUCUCACGCUGCAUACUAUCCUUUUCCAUUCGUGUUGACAGUGGGCUGAACCCUGUUUGCACUUUCUAGUAAGAGGCAUGGAAAAGCACUUGGGCAUCGACGUGUGCACAUGGGAUGUCGGAACUGAGGAGUUUUUGAAGAUAUUUGGGCGAUUCUUCCACAUUGAUACAUUUGAAAUGUUGUCUAUACAUAAAUAAAAU
Molecule: long non-coding RNA, 1260 nt
Filed under: Sander lucioperca (pikeperch)
Lineage: Eukaryota; Metazoa; Chordata; Actinopteri; Perciformes; Percidae
Description: lncRNA (ENSSLUG00000014226.1)
Source: RNAcentral